This 250-nucleotide ribosomal RNA is filed under the name uncultured bacterium. Its description in RNAcentral is "partial 16S ribosomal RNA". It matches the Rfam family "Bacterial small subunit ribosomal RNA", at positions 57 to 305 of the family's 1533-position model. The record is from RNAcentral.
GCAAGUCGAACGGUAACGCGGAGAGCUUGCUCUCUGGCGACGAGUGGCGGACGGGUGAGUAAUGCUUGGGAAUCUGCCUAGUAGUGGGGGACAACCCGGGGAAACCCGGGCUAAUACCGCAUACGCCCUACGGGGGAAAGCGGGGGAUCUUCGGACCUCGCGCUAUUAGAUGAGCCCAAGUCGGAUUAGCUUGUUGGUGAGGUAACGGCUCACCAAGGCGACGAUGGCUAGCCGGUUUGAGAGAAUGAUC